Molecule: ribosomal RNA, 468 nt
Filed under: uncultured bacterium
Lineage: Bacteria
Description: partial 16S ribosomal RNA
Rfam family: Bacterial small subunit ribosomal RNA
Source: RNAcentral
GACGAACGCUGGCGGCGUGCUUAACACAUGCAAGUCGAACGGAAAGGCCCUGCUUUUGUGGGGUGCUCGAGUGGCGAACGGGUGAGUAACACGUGAGUAACCUGCCCUUGACUUUGGGAUAACUUCAGGAAACUGGGGCUAAUACCGGAUAGGAGCUCCUGCUGCAUGGUGGGGGUUGGAAAGUUUCGGCGGUUGGGGAUGGACUCGCGGCUUAUCAGCUUGUUGGUGGGGUAGUGGCUUACCAAGGCUUUGACGGGUAGCCGGACUGAGAGGGUGACCGGCCACAUUGGGACGGAGAUACGGCCCAGACUCCUACGGGAGGGAGCAGUGGGGAAGAUUGCACAAUGGGCGGAAGCCUGAUGCAGCAACGCCGCGUGCGGGAUGACGGCCUUCGGGUUGUAACCCGCUUUCGCCUGUGACGAAGCGUGAGGGACGGUAAUGUGUAAAGAAGCACCGGCUAACUACGUG